UACGUAGGAUCCAAGCGUUGUCCGGAUUUAUUGGGUUUAAAGGGUGCGCAGGCGGCCAGAUAAGUCAGUGGUGAAAGCCUACCGCUUAACGGUAGAAAUGCCAUUGAUACUGUUUGGCUUGAGUAUAGUUGAGGUUGGCGGAAUGUAUCAUGUAGCGGUGAAAUGCAUAGAUAUGAUACAGAACACCGAUUGCGAAGGCAGCUGACUAAGCUAUUACUGACGCUCAUGCACGAAAGCGUGGGGAUCAAACAGGAUUAGAUACCCUGGUAGUCCACGCUGUAAACGUUGAUAACUCGAUGUUGGCGAUAUAUGGUCAGCGUCUUAGCGAAAGCGUUAAGUUAUCCACCUGGGGAGUACGCUCGCAAGAGUGAA
Molecule: ribosomal RNA, 372 nt
Filed under: uncultured bacterium
Lineage: Bacteria
Description: bacterial SSU rRNA
Rfam family: Bacterial small subunit ribosomal RNA
Source: RNAcentral